RNAcentral lists this transfer RNA (72 nucleotides) under Ovis aries (sheep). It matches the Rfam family "tRNA". Rfam says of the family: Transfer RNA (tRNA) molecules are approximately 80 nucleotides in length. Their secondary structure includes four short double-helical elements and three loops (D, anti-codon, and T loops). Lineage: Eukaryota; Metazoa; Chordata; Mammalia; Artiodactyla; Bovidae. The record is from Rfam by way of RNAcentral.
UCCCUGGUGGCUAAUAUGGUAAAAAAUCUGCCUGCAAUGCAGGAAAUCCGGGUUCGAUCCCUGGGUAGGGAA